GAAAAAAAUUAUGCAAGAAUACAUUGGACAUGAGAAAAAGAGGGAUGGAGAAUAAUAUAUAAGUUUCAACUAUAUUUUUUUACUUAUAAAAACAUUGAAAAUCAUCAGCUGGAUAAGAUCGAUCAUGGGUUGAAAACAGAGACAUCGAUCCAUUAACCAAGAAUUUGAGCUUAAUUAUGAUUUCAGCCCUGAAGAAAGGAAAAGAAAAGGGCCCAAUUUUUUGCAUGAUAAAGCGUAAUCAAAUGUCCCUUGAGAUUAACCUAUCCACUCGUCUUCCAAUCCCCUCUUUGCUACCCCAAUUUCCUUUCAAACAGGCCCUCACAGUCGUCGUCAUGGCUCCCAGGAAGAGGGUAAUUAAUUAAUAUUUACUACUAUUUUUAACAGCCCUUUUCACUUCUUGAUUUCACCGAAAUGGUAAGGGUAUUUUUGUUUAUUUUGAUUGCUAUGAAAAUGCAAUUGAUCUCUAUGUAAUUGAUACAGGUGAACAAG
This 489-nucleotide unclassified non-coding RNA is filed under the name Hevea brasiliensis (rubber tree). Lineage: Eukaryota; Viridiplantae; Streptophyta; Magnoliopsida; Malpighiales; Euphorbiaceae. The record is from RNAcentral.